GAGAUCCAAGCGUCAUACACUUACAAAAUAACGUGAAAAUCUAUAUAAUCCGUGCAUGUGUGUAUACGCAGGUCGCCGGGCUCACGACCACCGACGAGGACCCGACAGGAUGCCCCAAAGUUUUCCCGUUGUGGAGCCGCACCAUGGUUAUCCAGCCAUCUUUCCACCAAACCUUCUAUCCAUCAUUCAUCCAGUAAACCAGCCAUCUGUUUAUCCAAUGGAUGGAUGGAUGAAAGGGCGGCUAGAUUAAUCUCCUGGCUCAGAGGUAAAGGUGGAUCGUGGGAAGAGCUGAUUCUGGGGUCAGUUGGUCCAGGUCAGCUUCAGCGGGACAGCAGGAUUUAUGGAGACGGGAAAGUUCAGCUGGAGAGCGUCAGGUCUGAGCUCACUGAUGUGGCGAACAGCAUGGAUGUGCACAUCACUCACGCAGGCCCCAAAGUAAAUACACCGCCGGCCAUUUCUCCGAGAGCUCCUCCUCUUCCUCCUCCUCCUCGUCAUCAUCAUCAUCAUCGUCUGAGAGUUCAAGGUCACCGUGAGGUUAUUUCCAGCUCGUCUUGGCUUUGAUCUGUGUCUCAAAAUGACAAGGUAACGCAACUCGGGGGGUCAGCUGUGUUACAGGAACGCUUCCACGGAUCGAGGAAGAGGAAAUCAAUCCUGGCUGACAGUGUCUUCGGGAUACUCCGACCUGACUGGACUAUGACAACUAAACACACACGCGCGCAGCUGCCAAAUAUAGCGCACCGACGCUGCAGCUGUCGCUCGGCCCGACAGAGACGACCUCUGUCAACUCCGCUUCAUCUGUCGUCUCGUCAAGGUGCAUCGGAGAGACAAGGUGUCGGCCAAAAAGUUCAUCAGCGACUAACUGCUUCUGAAAAGUCCCUUUCAGGAAGUUCCCUGUAAGGCUUGCCCGCCAUUUAGGAACGACACAGCCAGGAGGUUGUUGUGUUUUGGAGUCCGUCUCCACAGGAACACGUUGUGGGGCUGCUGAGAGUCGUGGGGACAUCACCGGGACCAAACCUUGUUUUUCUUGAAUGGACAUCUUGCCGCAUCAGUUGGGUAUCGAUAAGUGAUCGAUAAGAUCGUUGCCUCUGAAGUUUCUGACGAAUGUGCCAUCUUUGUAAUUAGCUCUGAAGCAACAUAUGAAACAUUAAACUCGGCGAGCGGCAAGGACAAUCAAAACAUUUCAUUUCCCCUCAAUUAUUCAUCACUUUGAAGGUUCUGAAGGGUCGUUAAUAUGCUAAUCAGCUUGUGAUGCUAACAAGGUUGUAGUAUCGGAUUCUUAAUCUUUUUUUGGCUAAUAUUGCAUAUUUUCUGACCCUCUGUGGUGGGUUCUUUUCAUUGUUAACGUCUUCAAACAAACCUGAUUUUCUGAGCAAACCAGCCUUCCUUCAUCCACCGUAUGAAAGCCAGAGCAGAAGAAAAGCUGCUUUUGAUGGACCUCUUUGAUGGCUUCAAGCAUCUCCUCCAAAAUCAAGCUGAAGUGCACCAAAGCAAAUGUUUCCUCUUUUAUUUUCUCGCUUUCUUUCUCUCUUUUUUUGUACCUGACUUCAUUAACGUGUGCUUCCCCUCAGAGGCUGUCACAGCAGACCUGCCAAGAGAGCGGCCGCAAAAGUUCCCUGUCUGCAGCUUUUCACGCUUUAGUUCCCCUACAAUUAAUUAACAGGAUGAAGUCCCACACACCACCUCGCCGCCGUGGCUACCUUUGCCAGCUGUCAAAUUGGAGAGACAUGGACUGGAAAAAUAAGCCCGAGGUCGAGGCUAUUUAAGGUAAUUAGUUUUUGAUGCAUGCAGCUUUCAAAUCGUACUGUUCCCCAAAACUCAGCACGUGUGUGUGUUUGUGUAUGU
Long non-coding RNA from Takifugu rubripes (torafugu), 1842 nucleotides. The record is from Ensembl. NCBI's taxonomy places the organism in Eukaryota, Metazoa, Chordata, Actinopteri, Tetraodontiformes, Tetraodontidae.